RNAcentral lists this ribosomal RNA (253 nucleotides) under Segatella copri DSM 18205. Its description in RNAcentral is "Prevotella copri DSM 18205 partial 16S ribosomal RNA". It matches the Rfam family "Bacterial small subunit ribosomal RNA", at positions 524 to 776 of the family's 1533-position model. Lineage: Bacteria; Pseudomonadati; Bacteroidota; Bacteroidia; Bacteroidales; Prevotellaceae. The record is from RNAcentral.
UACGGAAGGUCCGGGCGUUAUCCGGAUUUAUUGGGUUUAAAGGGAGCGUAGGCCGGAGGUUAAGCGUGUUGUGAAAUGUAGAUGCUCAACAUCUGCACUGCAGCGCGAACUGGUUUCCUUGAGUACGCACAAAGUGGGCGGAAUUCGUGGUGUAGCGGUGAAAUGCUUAGAUAUCACGAAGAACUCCGAUUGCGAAGGCAGCUCACUGGAGCGCAACUGACGCUGAAGCUCGAAAGUGCGGGUAUCGAACAGG